AGCAGCCGCGGUAAUUCCAGCUCCAAUAGCGUAUAUUAAAGUUGUUGCAGUUAAAAAGCUCGUAGUUGAAUUUCGGGAUCAGUGCGCUGGUCGUGCCUUCGGUAUGUACUGGUGUUACUGGUUUCUACCUUCUGAAGAACCGUCAUGUCAUUAGUUUGGUGUGGCGGGGAAUCAGGACUGUUACUUUGAAAAAUUGAGUGUUUAAAGCAGGCUCGCGCUUGAAUACAUUAGCAUGGAAUAAUGAAAUAGGACGUUUGAUCCUAUUUUGUUGGUUUCUAGGAUUGACGUAAUGAUUAAUAGGGAUAGUUGGGGGCAUUAGUAUUCAAUUGUCAGAGGUGAAAUUCUUGGAUUUAUUGAAGACUAACUACCGCGAAAGCAUUUGCCAAGGAUGUUUUCAUUAAUCAAGAACGAAAGUUAGGGGAUCGAAGACGAUCAGAUACCGUCGUAGUCUUAACCAUAAACUAUGCCGACUAGGGAUCGGAUGAUGUUAAUUUUAAUGACUCAUUCGGCGUCUUAAC
This 518-nucleotide ribosomal RNA is filed under the name uncultured Glomeromycotina. Its description in RNAcentral is "SSU rRNA". It matches the Rfam family "Eukaryotic small subunit ribosomal RNA", at positions 569 to 1092 of the family's 1831-position model. The record is from RNAcentral. Lineage: Eukaryota; Fungi; Glomeromycota.